UCAAAAACAUCGCCUCUUGACAAAAUAUAUGAGGUCCAGCCUGCCCAGUGACCCAAUUAAACGGCCGCGGUACCCUAACCGUGCGAAGGUAGCGUAAUCACUUGUUCUCUAAAUUAGGACUAGUAUGAAUGGCAUCACGAAGGUUAUACUGUCUCCCCUUUUUAAUCAGUGAAACUAAUCUCCCCGUGAAGAAGCGGGAAUUUAAUUAUAAGACGAGAAGACCCUAUGGAGCUUUAAACUAAAAACACCUGUUAUUAAAUUUAAAAAUUCCCAUAUAUUUUUACAUAAUGAUUUAUAGUUUUAGGUUGGGGUGACCAUGGAGUAAAAAUUAACCUCCAUAAUGAAUCUAAUUAAGCAAAAAAUUACAAUUUUAUUCAUCAAUACAUUGACAUUUAUUGACCCAAUAUUUUGAUCAUUGAACCAAGUUACCCUAGGGAUAACAGCGCAAUCUACUUUUAAAGUUCAUAUCGACAAGUAGGUUUACGACCUCGAUGUUGGAUCAGGAUAUCCCAGUGGUGCAGCCGCUACUAAAGGUUCGUUUGUUCAACGAUUAAAAUCCUACGUGAUCUG
RNAcentral lists this ribosomal RNA (570 nucleotides) under Atopophrynus sp. n. MO-2020. RNAcentral's name for it is "partial large subunit ribosomal RNA". It matches the Rfam family "Bacterial large subunit ribosomal RNA", at positions 1807 to 2607 of the family's 2925-position model. The record is from RNAcentral. Lineage: Eukaryota; Metazoa; Chordata; Amphibia; Anura; Strabomantidae.